UUGCGAUGUAGCAUGCCCGUUUGGUGCUUAACUCUGAUGUGUAAUUGUUAUUUAAUUACUUUGGGGUAACGGGGUGUGACACACUG
Molecule: microRNA precursor, 86 nt
Filed under: Medicago truncatula (barrel medic)
Lineage: Eukaryota; Viridiplantae; Streptophyta; Magnoliopsida; Fabales; Fabaceae
Description: MIR2617 microRNA precursor family
Rfam family: MIR2617 microRNA precursor family
Source: Rfam by way of RNAcentral